Molecule: ribosomal RNA, 269 nt
Filed under: uncultured prokaryote
Description: partial 16S ribosomal RNA
Rfam family: Bacterial small subunit ribosomal RNA
Source: RNAcentral
UACGUAGGAGGCGAGCGUUAUCCGGAUUUACUGGGCGUAAAGAGGGCGUAGGCGGUCUUCCAAGUCGAGUGUAAAAUCUCCCGGCUCAACUGGGAGGGACCAUUCGAUACUGGUGGACUGGAGGACAGCAGAAGGAGGUGGAAUUCCCGGUGUAGUGGUGGAAUGCGUAGAUAUCGGGAGGAACACCAGAGGCGAAAGCGGCCUCCUAGGCUGUUUCUGACGCUGAGGCCCGAAAGCGUGGGGAGCGAACAGGAUUAGAUACCCCGGUA